Molecule: long non-coding RNA, 1404 nt
Filed under: Chelonoidis abingdonii (Abingdon island giant tortoise)
Lineage: Eukaryota; Metazoa; Chordata; Testudines; Testudinidae
Description: lncRNA (ENSCABG00000011524.1)
Source: RNAcentral
AUGAAUAUUUUAUUAAGUCUAAUCCCUUUUCAUUAUUUUCUGCCUGACAGAAGUAAAAUGAAUGAUCUAUCUGAAGGUAUGCGGAACCACCUACAGUUUUUGAAAGAAAUACUCAGAGGUGAAAGUGAGGCUCCACAGGGCAAGCUCACAAAUUUGGAUAGAACCAAAAUGGAACAAUUGGUGAACUCUGUGAAAAACAAUCUUAGUGAAAUGAAUGAUCAAUUAGAAGAUAUGCUGAAACACCUACAGUUUUUGAAAGAAAGAUUCAGUACAUCUGUGCCCUACAGAGGAGAAAGUGAGGCUCCACAAGGCAAGCUCACAAAUUUGGAUGGAACCAAGAUGGAACAAUUCGUGAACUCUGUGGAAGACAAACUUAGUGAAAUGAAUGAUCAGUUAGAAGAUAUGCUGAAACACCUACAGUUUUUGAAAGAAAGAUUCAGAGGUGAAAGUGAGGCUCCACAGGGCAAGCUCACAAAUUUGGAUAGAACCAAAAUGGAACAAUUGGUGAACUCUGUGAAAAACAAUCUUAGAAGUGAAAUGAGCACUCUAUAUGAAGAUAUGGGGAAAUACCUACAGUUUUUGAAAGAAAGACUCAGGGAGCUUCCCAAAAUGGUCAGCGCAGAAGAGUUUCAUCAGAAGGAAGAAGAAUGUGAAAAGCUGAAGGAACAGAAGAGAGUCUUGGAGCAAAAAUUGGACCUUGUCUUGGCCAAUGCAAUGAGAAGCCAUAAGUUCUCUGAGAACUUGAAUGACCCCUGUCGAUUAUCAGCUGUGUUGGAGAUGUACGACAGGCUCAGGAUACAUGAAUGGGAGAAAGCCAAAUGUGCUGCAAGUGUCUCCACCUUUCCAAUGACGUAUGAAAAAGGUAGCACGAUAAUUAAGGCUGUGUUUUCCAUAUGUGAAGAAGAGCUGUCACAAAGACUGGAGCGAAUUUUUGAACUCCUUGAGAUUCCAGUUUUGAAGAAAACCACAAGCCUCUUUGACAGCCAACAGCUGCCCCCUGGGCUGUCAGGAGAGAUAAAAAAUCACCUUAAACAUCUCUAUUUUAACUAUGGAGAAGACUUUUACCAAGCCAAGAGUAGGCUUGCUUUUGCUCCUGAUCAACAGAGGUUUCAGCCACUUGUAAAGUUCACAGCAAAGUGCUAUAAAAUUUACUGUUUGUUGCUUCUUCAGAACCCGCCCAUUAAAGUUAUGUGGCCUACAGACGGAAGAAUCCAAACAGCUUACAUAGAGCAUGUGGACAAGAAAGUGAUAGAAAGCUCUAUUCAAAUAAAGUUUCUGUGGCCAGUGCUGACCUGUGGGAACCAGCUAGUUAGAAAGGGUGUAAUCUAUGAUUAAAAGUAGUGGCUGUUUGGAGUCAAAUUAAACCCCUGUGUUGAAAAGCAAUAAAAAGCAAGUAAACCUGCA